UGUCACAAAGGAGCCGCCGGGGCUAGAGGGGCCUUCAGGAGCGCUGGGCGUGGGGGAGGCGGGAGAGGCGCGGGCGACGGCGAGGGACGCUGAGGCAGCGCCGUGCAGCCCCCUCCCCCUCCUGGCUGGGCGCGAACCGCCCCUUUCGUAGCAAGGUGGUCUGCACCUGGGUCUCCCGGAACCCCGAGGACUCCGGCCCGGCAUUCCCGGCCCAGCCACCACCACCCCCCGCCCGCCCGCGCUCCCGGCCUCCCUGGGCUGUGGGUCCACCCCUCCUGGGCCCUGGCGGGGUGGGGGAAGGUCACUUUGGGACGCCGGACGCGCGAGGACUCUGCCCAGCUCCGCCCCGCCUCCCGCUCCUGCACCUGCCGCCCCCUCGCACUCCCCGCCACUGCGGUUGCAGUUCCGGCCCUUCCCUCUCCUUGCAGGCCGGCCCAGCCGGCAGCCCCGGUUCCUGACUGCCCGGCUGUGCUCCUUGUGGGCGGCCUGAACCACCUCGAGCUGGACAAUGGCCAAACCCACCCAGGGCGCUAGCACGGAGCCAGGGCUCGGGAGGGGUAGCCCUCCGUGAGCUGUCCCAUCGAAACCGGUUGCAACUUUCGCCACUCUAGACCCCAGGCGACAAUGUCUGCACGUGACCCAGCCACCGAGGACUUUCUUUGAUGCCAGGUCGGCGACGGGUAUUCUCGUUGGCAUGCUUUUAUGCCCCCUUGGGUGUAUCGAUUCCUUUGUUCUGCUGUAAAAUUCUUGGAGCCAAAGGACCUUUGGGAAAGCCUAGCUCACAGGACAAAAUCUUCCCACCCUUUAUCUGCUGUUGCUGAAAAGCCAAACUCUUGGUUUCAUCCCCUUCCUAUGAACCCCGGAGCAGCUUUAUACAUCCCUCUCAGGGCAGUGACACAGCAGAAAACACCCUGAUGCUUCUGCUUCCACUGCAGAGAAGCCCCAUCCCCAGGGGCCACCAUGGCCCAUCUUGACGUCCCAGCCCCAUAUCAGAGAAUUUCCCAAUACCAGGAUGCUUGUCCGGGCCACCCCUCUGUCCCCAAGGUCAACCUCGCAGGCCUAAAGACAAGCCCGAACUAAUGAAGAAUGAGCAUUUUCCUACUAAUCCUUCUCCAGGCUCGCCUGCAGGACCUGUGCAAACCUCAACAUUCCUGAAAUUCAGGGGAGAAGCAGCCACCUAUCCACCCAGCCUCAGUGGGGGAGGCCGCAGGGCUCUGUCAAGGGCAACCGCGAGAGAGAACAGCUUAUUGAGAAAAGAAGCCACCUCUUGCUUAGCCCCUAUAAUGUUUACGUUGGAAAAGCCCCAGCUUGGUGGUAUGAGAGCUGCAGGAAGAGGCUGCACCUGCAGAUAUGAUGCCCUGGUCCCCUUCAGGCAGAAGUUACCUUAUGGAGGAGUUUCCAGCAGGACAGGUUGCUGCGAAGGGUACCCUGGUUCUGAGGAGAUCAGAGUUCAGUGGAGCUGAUGUUUAUGUAUGAUCUGGACACUCUCAUCUUGCCAACUACUGUUACCACAAGGCUAUGCCUUAAUGGCUUUUUUGAGCCAACGCCUCUCUAACAGUGACAUCAGGCUCUUAUAGGGUAAAUUUGCUUCUGUGGCCUGAGUCCAGAACACACCCUAGUCUUCUCCGAAGAGAAGCAGAGUCAGGGAAGGAAGAGAUUUUGUAAUGUGGACAGUGUUCAGUGUUCAUCGCUGAGGAAUUGAGCGUCAGUUUGCAUUCGUCAUGGGCUGAGGACCCCGCAGCUGUUGGAAGGCCAGCAGCAGUGUAAAGCCCAGGAGCAAGAGGUGUGAAUGAAGAACCCUUGAGAUUGACCCCAGCUGUAGCCACUCACCAGACUUGCCUCAAUCUCGUGGGAGACCGCGAGUCAGACUAGCUCAGCUCAGCUGCUCCCAAAUUCCUGGCCCACAAAACCUGCAAGAGCUAAUAAACAACAUUGCUUUGCUGGAACCAUGAGGAGGGGCUUUUUCUAAUACUGAUAGUCUGGAAAUCAACUGGCAUCAUAAUUCUAACAAGGGUAAAUGGCUAAUAGCUAAUGUAACGGGCUGGCUGGUCAAAGGCUGUGUAAUGCUCGAGGCAAAGCCAACUCUAGCCUUGAUGUCUCAUGAGGUUUGUAGAACUUCUGACUCUAGGAUUGGACUCAGGAUCAAUGUGCAACUCAGGCCUGAGAGAAGAUCAGGUUCACUGAAUUGUGGUUAAAGUUAGUAUAUCUCAUCACAGAAGCCAUUUGACCUAGAUGAUUGUAAUUCCUUAUUCUCCAGAUUUUAUCUUUAUGGUCAUAUUUUGGGAAUAACUUAACUAACUUGUUGCCUUAUAUUGUUAUAUAAACAGUUAUGUUUUUAGAAAAUAUUGAAAUUUUAAUUUAUUUCUUAAUUGACAAAAUGAUAUCCGUAUAUUUUUGGGAUACAACAUGAUGUUUUGGUACAUAUACACAUUGUGAAAUGGUUAAAUCAAGCAAUUUAACAUAUCCAUCACCUCACAUACUUUUUUUGUGUGUGUUGGAAACAAUUAAAAUCUACUCUAUUGACAAUUUUCACAUAUAUACUAUAUUGUUUUUAACUAUAGUCACCAUGGCGUAUGGUAGAUCUCUUGAACUUAUUUCUUCUCUCUAACUGAAAUUCUGUAUCCUUUGGCCAACAUCUCCCCAAUUCCACAGUCCCCCUGCCUCUGGUAACCACUGUUUUACCUUCUGCUUCUUUGAGUUCAACUUUUUAGGUUCCACAUAUAGGUAAGAUCAUGUAGCAUUUGUCUUUCUAUACCUGGCUUAUUUCACUUAACAUAAA
Sapajus apella (tufted capuchin) is the source of this 2779-nucleotide long non-coding RNA. RefSeq lists it as uncharacterized. The transcript has 5 exons. The record is from RefSeq and is a predicted model, not a curated record. Lineage: Eukaryota; Metazoa; Chordata; Mammalia; Primates; Cebidae.